Molecule: ribosomal RNA, 497 nt
Filed under: uncultured bacterium
Lineage: Bacteria
Description: partial 16S ribosomal RNA
Rfam family: Bacterial small subunit ribosomal RNA
Source: RNAcentral
GACGAACGCUGGCGGCGUGCCUAAUACAUGCAAGUAGAACGCUGAAGAGGGGAGCUUGCUCUUCUUGGAUGAGUUGCGAACGGGUGAGUAACGCGUAGGUAACCUGCCUUGUAGCGGGGGAUAACUAUUGGAAACGAUAGCUAAUACCGCAUAACAACGGAUGACACAUGUCAUUUAUUUGAAAGGGGCAAUUGCUCCACUACAAGAUGGACCUGCGUUGUAUUAGCUAGUAGGUGAGGUAACGGCUCACCUAGGCGACGAUACAUAGCCGACCUGAGAGGGUGAUCGGCCACACUGGGACUGAGACACGGCCCAGACUCCUACGGGAGGCAGCAGUAGGGAAUCUUCGGCAAUGGGGGCAACCCUGACCGAGCAACGCCGCGUGAGUGAAGAAGGUUUUCGGAUCGUAAAGCUCUGUUGUAAGUCAAGAACGAGUGUGAGAGUGGAAAGUUCACACUGUGACGGUAGCUUACCAGAAAGGGACGGCUAACUACGUG